This 19899-nucleotide long non-coding RNA is filed under the name Xyrichtys novacula (pearly razorfish). Lineage: Eukaryota; Metazoa; Chordata; Actinopteri; Labriformes; Labridae. The record is from RNAcentral.
CUGGAGCAGUGAGUGUUGGUCAUCAUUGUCCGGUCUGCUGCAUCACAGAGCAGAAGGUAAGCUCAGGUCGACACACAUACUGAAUGUGUGCAUCUGCCUUUGUUUUCUCUAAAUCCAGCUCUGUAUGAUGAAUCUAGAAACCCACAGAGAAAUAUAACCACAGAUAUUAAAAGGACUUUAACGUGAUCUUAUCCAGCUUUAGCAAACACAGAUGUAAUAUAUUUCUCUUUAAUGAUUCAAGUCCCAGCACCACUAAAUGUUUUUGCUGACUUUUGUGCAGAGAGGAGUGUUUUUAUCUGCUUUUGCUUGGUUGGACUUGGUGAAUGGUUUGUGUGAGUGUCAUCUGCUAAUGUGAGGAAUCAAGGAUUUCAGACUCAGUAAAACAGAAAGAAAAAACAUGUCCAAAUCAGUACCACUGCGAUCACGUCUUUUUCUUUUAAGUUAUCGUUGUGUUCCAACCCCUAAAAACACACGCACACACAGCACAGUAAGUUUUCCUCUCAUUAUACAAAAAAGUAUGUUUCAAUCCGCCCACUACCAUUCCUCCUUCUUGUGUCUGAUCUUUCAACAGUAUCAACAAGCAGCAUGUUUUACAGAGAUGCCCAAAUGUUGAUUUAUUUCAAAAUCUUCAUCCUUGUUAUCACAACAGGUAAUCUGUGUAAUGGCAAGGCUUGUUUAAGAAGUAAUGAGUUGCAGUGAUUCACAGACAGUGCACUGACAUCAGCCAGCUGCACGUAUACAGGAUCAACUCAACAAAUAAGACUCAUAACAAAGUUCCAUAUUUUUCAUCCCUGUCUUAAGAAAGUGAAUUGUGGUAAAGGAGCCUCUGUAGGUAGAAAUGAGCAUUCUUUUCAGAAAUUGGAGAUUUGAUCCUCUUCAUUGAUCUCUGUACUGGAUUUCUGAUCUCUAUGUACUACAAGCCAUGCUCAUUAAACCUGUGCACCUGUGGGGAGCAACAUGUGACAGCUAGUUCAGAAACACUAAUGCAACAAAUACCAUGUGUAAUUUUCACCAUCACUUUUUGUAAAUGGAGAGAGUGAAAUGUGAAUUUAUGAAAAUAGCCGAGCAUGUGUAAAUGUAGUCUGAGAGGACUGCUUCACAACCCUAUAUCAUGGCUUAACCGUUAACACCUGUGGCAUGUUAAUUAGCUGGAAAACAAGCUAAUUGGCUGUUGUUUUCCCCACAGGGUGAGAUCUGUCAAGGUGUAUGAUUUAUCACCCCGAAGGACAUGAGGGAGCCUUUCUGAACUUGAGGACUGUACGCUAACUAGCCCACAUCUGUAAAGGGUGAAUGAUAACUGAUCUCUUCAUGCAGGGGUGGAGAUAAAACAACUCAAACUUCUCCAAACCUCCAAAAAGUGAUUUUGAAUAUGAUGGUUAAAAAGGCUCUUACCAUCCGUCAGUGUGUUUAUCUAUCCAUCCAUCUAUUCAUCCAUCCAUCCAUUCUGUCUGUUCAUAUAUCCAUCCAUCUGUUUAAUCAUCAUCCAUUGAUCCAUCCACCCAUCCAUUCAUCAUCCAGUCAUCCAUCCGUGUAUAUUUUUUAUUCAUUGUCCACUCUCUUGGGUGAAAUAUAACCCAUAUAUAAAUGUAAAACCCUUGGAAGUCAAAUGAUGAACAAUUCCUCCAAGUAUAAAUGUGAGUUUUACGGUGAGUAGAGUUAAUUUAGAAUUCAGUCGCUCUGUAUUAAAGAAUGAAUCCCUUCUGUCCUCCUAAAACAGUGAUAGAACGUCAAAUUUCACAGUUAAUUAUAUCCAAGCAGGAGGAGAUGUAAUUUGUUAAACAAGUCACUUUUGAAGCAAAAUAUCGUAAAUGAGUCAAUUUGAAGGUACAUUAAAAAUGUUGGAUGGCAUCCUAUGUAAAGUCCCAGAGUGUCUUCACAGAUUAGGCUGUGUGCACAGGUAAAUGUGAUUUAUUUUGUCGGAGAGCAGGUCUGUUCCUGUGUGAACCAAACUGAUGUGGAAUAUGUGAAGUUCUGAUGAAUGUUUUAAUAUCAGUUAAAAUGAUAAUGAAUUUUAUCUAAGGAGAUUUUUCUCCUUAGAUAACUACGGACUCUUCCUUCAGUCAGCUUUUGACUACGAGUGAUGGGCUCUUACAUGAAUAUACAGUUUUUCUGUUGGAGAGCAAUUUUGAAUAUGUCCUUCAGACUUGAUUGGAGUAGAUGCCCAGAAGCUCUAUGUAUCAAUCAGUAUUCAGUAACAUCAUUUAGGAUUUAGCAUUUUACAUCCAUCAAAAACAAGUGAAAAUGAUUCUCUCAGGAACUGACUGUGGCAAAAGACUCAAUUGCAGACAUGUGGUUCCAACAGGCAAAACACAGGUAUAUUGACAGUCCAAGAUCGGUACACAAGAAAGCAGAAUCACAGGCAGAGGCGUCCAAAAUGCUAGGGUAAAAGCAGGGUCAAAAACUAACAAGGUUGAGCUCAAUGACUGAGAUAACUAGAAGAAGUGCUGGAACGUGAUGAUAAGUACAACGAGAUGGUGACAGGACCAUGAGAGACAUAAGGUUAAGUACAAGGGGUAAUGAGGGUGAUGGGAGACAGGUGUGGAAGAACAAUCAGGCGGCAGGUGUGACAAGACGGGGACAGGGCAGACAGGAACACAUCUGAAACAGAGACAGGAGUUAGUGACUUUACAAUAAAACACACCAGAGACAAAAGACAUGAAAUGAACCAAAUAAAGAUAACUUGACCCUGGUCAUAACAGAUUCACUCAAAAGCAUUGUCCAUGAACUCCAACUCCAUUGUGUUUCCCAUUUUGGAUAGUACAAAGGCACCAGAAACAUUUGUGUAUGUUAACAGAGGCUAGUCCAUCUCCCAUUGUCUUUAUAAUAGGGUGACCAUACGUCCCCUUUUAUCCGGACAUGUCCUCUUUUUUGGGGGGGCUGUCUGGGUUUGUCCGGUCUGCUUUAUAAGUUUGAUGUGAAAUGCAGUCAGAUGUAAUCAUUCAUUAGACAGAACUAGCCUCCCUGCUUUCUAUCGGGUUUCUAUCCAUUUGUAAAGAUAUGGUUAGGGAUAAAGGACUCUGGGGAAAGAAAAAAAGGCUGAUAUUCUGAUUUAGAAAAAAAGUUAAAAUUCUGAGAAUAAAUCAGAAUUCUAAGAAGAAAGUCACAUUUAAAGUUAAGUUUUUAGAGUACAACAGAAUUCUAGAAUUACAAAAAGUCAGAAUUCUGAGAAACACGACAGAUUUUUGGUUGAAGCCAGAAUUUUUUUUUUUUUCUCAGAAUUUCAAAAGAAAAUUUUAUUCUGGGAUUAAAGUUGGAAUUUCUGAGACCAAAGACACAUAUCUGAUUUUUUUUUUCACAGAGUUCUAAAUUUCUCUUAGAAUUCAGAUUUUUAUCUCAGAAUUUUGACUUUGUUCCAGUAGUUUAAUCUUCUUCCAUAAAAUGAGUUAUAAAGCCUUUAUUGUCCAUUGCUGGAAGCUGUGGGGCGCUCCUUAGUGCUUGUUUCAAAGAUGGACCUAAUCAUACUCUCAUCGGCAUCAUGUGACAAAUUAGCCAAGCUUUUUGUCUGUAAACGUUGCAACUCCAAAGAGUUUCAUCAUCUCUGAACUUGUUUGCUGCUUAUUUAGCCCAUAUUAAAUUUGGAAGAACAAUCCUUUAUAUCUGAAGCAAAGCUCACACAGAAGCCUUUAUUUCCUUCAAAACAGAAAUGAACAAACUUCCUAUUGGUGAUUAACUUUGGCAUAACAAAUGCUUUCUUUCAAAUGCUGAGUUCAAAACCUCAAUACCAUCAAGAAAUUGCUAACUAGCACUAGCAAUAUGAGAUGACCAGUUCUCUUUCACAGUCUCUUUUGUAAAUAUCAAGUCUCUUUUUCCUCCCCAGGGCUGUUUAUCUUCCCUCUUCAGCAUGGUGUCGACCAUUUGUCUCUAUUUUAGCAGCUGAAUUUGCGAUGUUAAACAUAACUCAAGUCUCUGAAAUGUAGAUGACGACCCAGUUCCUCACUGAUUGGCAGUCUACCAGUGACUUAAGCUCAUCACAUUUUCCCACCGAACAGCUUCCCUGUCCCCCGCCUGUCUCACAGCUAAUUUUAUUGAUGGCGCCUUCUUACACAAGACAGGAGUCACUUCGAUUUUCUGCAGCAAUCUUGUGCAAUUUUAACACAUUUUCUCCUCUUCCAGGGCAGUGAACGUUAGCAGUAAGUAUAUCAUAAUUAAAGGAAAAUUGGCGAUAGUCGAACUCUGAUUGAAAAAAGACAAUUAAAAGAGCCGUGAGAUGAACCACCUGAGCCUUGCUCAAUCAAUGGAAACAGCUGGACUCUUUUGUUGUCGAAAGAAAAUACCAUAUGAGAGGUGCUAUCAGAAGUGGACAAUAAUUUCAUAACUCCAGCUCUCCUUUCUCAAUGUAGGUGGCUGCUCUGGAUGAGUAAUUUCUACUUAGAGAUAUAAGGGCGCAUGGAGAGAAAGUCAGAAGUGGAGGUGAGAGGAAGGUGGAUGAAGGAGAGAGAGGUGUUGGAAGACAGGAGCUGCAAGUGAGUGCAGGCACUUAAGGACUAUUUUUAUCGCCCAUUCUACCGGCACUUACAGGUGUCUUUGUCUCCCCUGCUUGGCUCUAAAUUUACAGAAAUAAUAGGCCAAUCAAAACCCAUAUUUCACAUUUGCAGGAGCCUAAUGCUGUUAUUUCUAUACAUUUGCUUGUCACCAAUAGCAGCAUUCUUCGAGGGUUAUCUAAAUCUUAUUUGAUGGCUUGCCACAGAAGAUAUAGAAUCAGCAAUAGUAAAAUCUUUUUGUUUGACUAACUCUGCCAGCAUCUGUUUUACAGUUUGUAUUUAUACCCACGGAGAAGAAUAUAUAUUAACUCCUAAGUACAACAUUUAACAGGAGGGAUGCUGACAUAGGUGGCUGAUGGUAAUGGAUGGACAAACAACCCAGAAUAUCGACCCAAACAGCAUGGGUUUGAGUCUAAAGAAAAUCAAAGUAAACCUAACCAAAUCCAUAAUGAGCUCAACCAAACAGACUCUUUCACAAUAAUCUAAUAUAAGACAGAUAGCAGGGCUCCAAGUAAAUACCUGGCGUGUUAGAGACCCCAACUAGGGGCUGUGGAAAAGUAGUAUUGAUGACUAUGGCUGAAAUUGGUUGGAGAAUAACAUGCACUUUGUCUAAGUGAAAAAAGGAAUUUAAAACUCUGUGCCCAUGUCCGAAUGAAAGCUCCUGUGUGGGUUUUUACUUUGAUUAUUUAUCUCUUUGCUGAUCCUGUCUUGUACAUGCUUAAGUUGUUUUCUUUUCCCCAUUAAAGCUUUUAUUUAUCUUUUUUUUCCUAAUGUCUAGCUGCUCACUCACAAUAAAUCUGGUUAUGAAUAAUUUAGGACAGCCAGUUUUGGCAGACUGUGGCUAAUUCCUCUGUCUGACAUCUACCCAGUUGCAGGGGUGACAGAGAUAAAACCAAAUUAUAAAAUGUAAUCAGUGUCUGAUGGUCUUGUUUACUUUUGGAGGUCACAAAAAGGUGUUGGUAUUAAAUUCUGUCUGAAUCCUUUUCAGUUACAAGACUUUUCAGAGAAACUAAAGAGUUCAACCUCAAAUCAUUCACACCGGUAUGACAACAAGUGAUGGAAAAAUGUUGUCUAACAUGUCAUUUUGUCUUUUGAAAUGGCUAACUACCGUAUUUUUCGAGCACUAAGGCGCUGUUUGGUCCGCUUUAAAAGGACCAGAGUUCGUUUCCUCUGAUAGUCUGCUUCGUUUGGGCAGGUGUGAAAGCUCAAUCCCAACUCUGGUGCGGACGAAACAAGCGAACUCUGGUCCGCCUGAAAACAUGGGUCUCGGUUCGCUUGCAAGUGAACCCUGGUUUGGCUCGUAUGCAGUGUGAAAGCUCAAACACAGGACCAAAUGUACGUAAUGACUCUAUAUGCAGUGCAUACACAGUACAUCUUGGGUAGAGGAAGAACGGCGUCACUUGUUGCUAUGGCAACAUGUGACCGCUGACAUUAGCAGUUGCUAGCUAGCUUAGCUUAAUUGUCUGAACAACAACAACCCAUAAAUUCACAAUUUGGCAUAUUUAAACAAAAUAAAAUCACAACUAUCAACAGUCACAGUCCUUAAACUCAUAUGUUGUCACAUGUUUGAUCGUCAAAGUUAGAAAAAUAAUAGGAUCAAUCCCUGAUAAGCUACGAUAGCAUUAUAGGAACAGUUGCGCUCACUAGCGAUGUAACAUUCCAUGAAAUAAUGUGAUGAAGCACAAUACAAGACGGCUAGUCCACCCCUGUUUGUAAUCUGUGAGGUUACAUACUCCUCCUACUUUGUCCAAUCGACGAGUGCCCCUUUCAACCACGUGAUGCUGCUCGGAAAGUUCAGUGCGCUUUACAAAUCAUAGUGUGAAAGCAGAACCGAAACAAGUGAUAAAUGCAACAAUGUUGCGACUUUCAGCUCCCCAAUCGAACCAAGUCUGCUUGGUCAGGUGUGAAAGCGGCCUAACUCCUCACAGUGUGUCUCUUUAAGAUAGGCAAUGCAUAUUACAACAUACAAUAUUUAAACAUACAGAACCAUCCACCCUCACAUUCUCAGGCGUGUGCUCCCUUUGACAAGUGAAAGGAUAAAUGGUAAAAUUGAUGCCUUUUGAGGGUAAAACAAGCUGAACUGGAUUUGUGGCCUGUGUGCAGGGGCAGCAGUGAUAGUCUUUCUGUGUAUUUGCAAUCUAAAACUUGACAACUAUUCAAUGGAUGGCUGUGAUAUUUGAUAAAUCCUUCAGAGGAGACCAAAGAAUCAAUCUUAUCAGUUUUGGAGACUGCACAAUUUGGCAUUUAUAUUGCUGCUGUAAAACAACAUGACAAAAAGAAGACCUCAAGUGACUCGGCUCCAUCUUCUUCUGAACACUUGGUAUGUUAACAAACAGGACUGAAAUAUCAGCCACAAUUCUAAUGUUUCAAGUGCAAACAGAAAAGUAACAUCAGAAAAAUUUAGAGUAUAAGGCUAAAGUGAAUUGUCUUCCCCCUGUAGAAAAAAAAAAAGAUAUAUCAUAUGCAUAAUCUGCUAUAAACACUCUUGAGUGGUUUGCUCUAAAAACAAAAUCACCCCGCUGUCUUUCAGUUGUCAAAUGUCUGCCCCCCUUUGAAUCCUUCCUGAAAUACACAAACAAGGCAAUGUCUGAUCUGAGUGCUUCAAAUAGCACCGGAAGCAGUGGGACCAGCACAGAAUCUAACUGUAAAGAAUCAGUGGAUCUUCUUGUUUGUUUUUGUCAGUCAUUUAGAGGCAUCGGUAUUAAUUACUGUCUGUUUUAUAAGCAGUUAAAAACUCCUCAGAGUGUGUUUAAAUAUAUGGUUACAAGCUGUCUGUCGCCCUCCCAACCCAAACACGGAUUUUUCGUCAAACAACCUUUGUGAAUGCUAAACACCCAGGAGCUGUGGGAUCAAGGGAACAAGCGUAUAUGCAGUAUUAAUUUACUUCAUAAUGCAUAACACAAGUGCUCACAGGUGCAUCACAGAUGGGAUCCUUUGCUGCUUGGACUCAAAACUACAUCAGAAGGAAAAUUAAAUGAUGGCUCCAUUAGGCCAAAGAUUUUUAAGCCUCAUGCUGGGAUCAUGAAUGCAACUUCUCUGUCUUUUUUUUUUUCUGUGAACUAAAAGAAGCAAAACAAAACACAUCUGUAAACGGAGUGUUUUGUGGUGUCUGCCCUGUCUUUGAACUGAUUGCCUCUGAGGCUCUUUUUCUGUUUUUACCCUCUAACACUUUGACUUGCUAAAAGCCACUUUACACAAAUCCACACAAUGCAGAACACUAGACCCACGGUCGCUGUAACACAUGAAAUAUGAAUGUAAUUUUUAGUUUUAUGUGCAUGUAGUGCCAGUAGUAAGUAACUUUUUAUUCAUUUAUUCAAAUGAUAUUCCUGCUUCUGGAAUAAUUUCAGUUUUGAUGUAAACACUCUUUAAAAGUCGUUGUCUGGUGUUUGUGAGCGUCCUCGAUGUGCGCAGCUGGAACAGACACGGUGAGUGGCGUCUUGAGGAGUGUGCCAAUGAGACAGCGGUGAGGUGGAGAUGUUUUACAACAGCACAAGGGGAGCUCUUUGAAGGCAAGCAUUUUUUUUUGUAAUUAACAUUUUUUUAUUGUAUUAAUAUGGCACUCAGGAAACCAUAUACAUUCAUAGUAGGCAUACAACACAUUUAACCCCCCCUCCACCCCCCACCCAUAAACAAACAAACCAAAACAAAACAAAACAAAAAGUCACCCAACUUUACAAAUGAUUCUUGGCUGUACAUAAAUGUAGUUCUCAUAUCACAGUAGCUAGGUAUGCACAAUGAGAUAAAAUGAAACAAGAACAAACAAUAAAAUAAUAGGAUAUUAAAAAUAAAUUUAAAAAUAAAUAAAUAAAAGAAUGCAUCUCUCUACUCAUACAUCUGAUGUUUUGUCCUCCAAGAAAGAUAGGUAUUUCCCCCAUUUUUUAUAAUAAACCUCAAGUCUACCAAAUGACUUCCAUGACAACCUUUCCAAGGCUGCCACUUUAGCCAACUGAGCAGACCACUCCUGUGUUGAGGGCACCCCCUCAGUCUUCCAUUCCCUGAGUAAUAUCUGUCUUCCUGUCAUAAUGCUAGUUUGGAUCCAGCUUUUAAUGUGCUUACUCCCCUCUGUUAGGACAGAGUCAUCUCCCAAAACAAAAAGUCUGGGGCAGAAUUGUAUUGGAAUCUCUGUUAUCUCACUAAUAAAGCUGUGAAUCCAUGACCAGAACUGCUGAACUUUAUCACAGGACCAUAGUGUAUGUAAUAGAUAGCCCUCUGCAGCUUUGCACCGCCAGCAGUUUGAGUUCUCAAUCAGACCUAGUCUGAACAGUCUAGAGGGGGUCCAGUAAAAGCGGUGCAGGAUUUUGAACUGCAUCAAACGCACUCUUGCAUCCCUAGACAUAGUUUUUAUGUUCUUACAGAUCUUUAGCCACUCCUCCUCUUCUAUUCUCCAACCAAGGUCUCUCUCCCAUGUAUUUUUAAGUGCUAGCAAGCCUCCAUCCCCAGUUGUCUGAUUCAGCAUAGAAUAGUACAUAGAGGCCUUGAAUCCUUGCCUAUAGUAUCUCAGUAUGUCCUCAAGUAGUCCAGCUGUCUUUGGAGCAGAAUGAGCAAAAAUGCUCAUUAACAUGUGGCGUAGCUGUAAGUACCUAUAGAAAUGUGACUUGGGGAUCCCAUAUUGAUGACUUAACUCAUCAAAUGAUUUCAAAGUGUUGUUGGAGUAUAAAUCACCCAGAGUAGCAAUACCCUUCUCCCUCCAAUCCUUCCACCACACAGGGGAUUUGUUAAUACAUAAUUUGGGAUUUAACCAGAUACUAGAGUACACAUUUAGAAAAGGAUCUAGAUUAAACAGUCUGGUAAUUUUACUCCAUAUCCCUUUCAUGUUGGAGAAUAUUGGAUGACUUUUGAUUGCCCCUGAGAGCUUAACUGAGAGACACUGGAGUAGUGGCACAGGGGCAAUAGUUUGUUCAAUAGAGAACCAGGGUGGAGCCCUCUCUGGUGGGAGUGACCAGUGGGCUAGAUGUCUCAAACUAAAGGCGUAAUAAUAAAAUAACAUAUUAGGCAAUCCUAAACCCCCUCUAUCAACAGGUCUUUGUAGUUUUUUAAUAUGUAAGCGGGGCUUCUUACCAUUCCAAACAAAUUUUUUCACUAUCCUAUCAAACCAUGUAAAGUAAGUCAUGGGAAUCUCCAGAGGAAUAGAAUGAAUUAAAUAAUUUAGUUUAGGGACACAGUUCAUUUUAACCACAUUAACCUUACCAACCAUUGAUAACUUUAGUGUUGCCCAUCUACUGGUAUCACAAUCAAUUUUAUUUAGUAAUGGAUCGAAAUUUACCUUAACUAGGUCUUUUAGCUGUGGUGGAAAGAGUAUGCCCAAGUAUCUUAUACCCUGCCUGGGCCAUUGAAAUGCGCCUGGUUGGAAGGCUGGGGGUGGGCAGUAAGCUGUUAAAGGGAGCGCCUCUGAUUUAGACCAAUUCACCCUAUAUCCUGAAAACUUUGAAAAUGAAUUAAUUAUUCUCAAAAGAGCAGGCACUGACCGACCUGGUUCAGAGGCAAAUAAUAAAAUAUCGUCUGCAAAAAGCAGAAGUUUAUGUACUUCGCCCCCUGCCCUUACUCCUGGAAAGUCAGUAGCCCUUCUUAUAGCAGCUGCCAAAGGCUCUAAUGCCAAGCAAAAUAACAAGGGUGAUAGGGGUGAGCCUUGUCUGGUUCCUCUCCCUAGGGUGAAAUAGUCUGAUAUGAGUCCAUUGGUUUGAACCGCAGCUUCUGGUUGAUUGUAAAGUAACUGAAUCCAUUUGAUAAACUUACUACCAAACCCAUAUAUAUCCAGUAUUUUUAACAAAUAGCCCCAUUCAACCAUAUCAAAAGCCUUUUCGGCGUCUAAAGAAAUGGCUGCCACAGGGGAUUGCUCAUCUGACACAGCCCACAUUAUAUCAAUAAAGCGCCUUACAUUAUCUGUAGAACUGCGGCCAUUAAUAAACCCAACUUGGUCAGGGUGAAUCAAAGACGUUAUGACUUUGUUCAAACGGUUAGCUAAGAUCUUUGAUAUAAUUUUUACAUCCAACUGGAUCAAAGAGAUUGGUCUGAAAUUUUUACAUUCUGUGGGGUCUCUCCCUUUUUUAGGAACCAAGGUAAUGAGUGCCUGUCUCAUAGUUUGAGGUAAUAUCCCUUUUUCCAGUGAUUCUGCAUAUAGAUCUAGCAGCAGUGGGGCUAACUCCGCUGCAAAGCUCUUAAAAAACUCUGCAGUAUAGCCAUCGGGACCAGGCGAUUUUCCUGCAGGCAGUGCUUUUAUCACUUCUAUAAUCUCUUCUACCGUAAUAUCUUCAUCUAGAAUUUGUUUCUGCCUUUCAGACAAUUUAGGCAGUUCUAAUGGGUCAAGAAAAGCAAGCAUUUCUUCCUCUGUUGAGGUAGAAGUAGAACUGUAAAGGCCCAUAUAAAAUUCCUUAAAACACUUGUUAAUAUCUCCAGUUGAUGUUAAGGUAUCUCCACUUAACGCCCUGAUCGCUGGAAUAGUGGAGACCUGCUCUCUUUCUUUAAUUAACCUGGCAAGCAGCUUCCCUGUUUUGUCCCCUGACUCAAAAAAGGUUUGCCUUGCCUUAAAUAAUAGAAAUUCAAUUUUUUUAGACAAGAUAGUAUUGUACUGGUACUUUAAUUGUGUUAACUCCUUAAGAAUAUUGUUAGACAUCCGUCUCUUUAGCUCUGCCUCUAAGCAUUUAAUUUUCCUUUCCAAUUCCAGAAGUUCUUUAGCUUUUGUUUUCUUGAUGGAUGAAGUAACUGAAAUAAUGCGACCUCUGAUGACAGCUUUCAGAGCCUCCCAGGCCACACCCAUAGAUGUACCUGUGGACCAGUUAGUCGCAAUAUAUAAAUCUAGCUCUGCCUUCAUCCAUAUCAUAUUGUCAGGAUCUUGUAAGAUGGAGGAGUUAAGCCGCCAUCUAGUAGAACGCUGUCUUUCACAAUAGGGCUGGAUUUCUAAACAAACAGAUGCAUGAUCGGAAAUGAUUAUAUUUCCUAUUGAGCAGGCAAGCACUGAAGGUACCAGAGGCUUUGAUAAUAAAAAAUAAUCUAUCCUUGAGUAUAUCUUAUGGACUGGGGAAAAGAAAGUGUAGUCCCUCCCACUGGGAUUUAAGAUCCUCCAAAUGUCCACCAACCCCAAAGCUUUACACAUUCGUUGCAGAGUAAGGCUUGCUCGUGGAGACCUACCCACUGCACCCCCACUAUGGUCUAACACAGGGUCCAUCAGUAAGUUGAAGUCUCCACCCAGUACAAUGUUGUGGUUACCCAUAGCAUUAAACCUCCCCUCCAGAUCUAGAAAAAAUAAAGGAUCAUCUCCAUUAGGAGCAUAUAUAUUUGCCAGGAUAACAGUCUGCCCCUGAAUUUCUGCCAAUACAAUAAUGAUUCUUCCUGAAUUAUCUUUUGUUUGUUGGAUACAUUUAAAUUGUAAAUUUUUAUUAAUAAGUAUGGCAACUCCCCUACUAUUGCUAGUCCCUUCACUAUAAAAAACGUGACCAACCCAACCACUACAGAGUUUGAUAGACUCUGUUGGCGAAAGAUGAGUUUCCUGCAAGAAUACCACAUCACAUUUAUCUUUCCUAAUGCUUGACAUUACUUUUUUCCUCUUCACUGGAUUCCCUAACCCUUUAACAUUCCAUGUAAAGAGACGCAUAUUACUCGUCUUAGACAUAUUUAGCACUAACAAAAAAUGAACUUGCACAUGGCUUACCACCAAGAUCUUGAAACAAAACACUGCGUUGGUGACUUAACAAAAAACAACCCCAAAAAACCCUGACACAUAGAAUAUGCAUUAGAACCCGAACUCUGCAUAUCCUGUUACCCAUUACGUUAACCUCGCUGUGGUCCAUGACUCCUCUACGAGUCUCCCUCUUAUGGGCCCCGCUGGCUCCACUGUUAGCAUUCAUUCAACCAGAACCAUAGUGACGUCGCGUCCUUUUAGUAAUAUUAAACUGAGCAAAAUCGUCAAACCUCGUCAGUCAGCACACAAGUAUAAUGGCAGUCUAAGUUAUGAGUCCAUUACUCUCGCCUUCAUCUCCCUAAAUACUCACGAUCAUUACAUGCUGUCAAUAAAAGUCAUGGCUUUCUUCGGGCAAGAAAAUGACUUCUCGCCGUCCUCGCACCUGACCUUCAAUGUAGCGGGAUACACCAGUCGAAAGCUCACCCCCCGGUCAUGCAGCUUCUUCUUACAGUCUUUAAACUUAUCCCUUUUCAGCAUUGUAGACCGGGAGAAGUCCGGAAAGAGCAUGAUGUUGCUGUUGACCCAGGUCAGCUUCCCCUUGUUCCUGGCCGCUCGUAGCACUAAAUCCCUGUCGGAUGAUCGAAGAAACUUCGCCAGAAUUGGACGUGGCUUCCCUCCUAUCGGCGGGCGUUGGGAGGGUACUCUAUGUGCUCGUUCAAUCUCCACCGUCUCCUCGAUGCUAAGCAACUCCGGUAUCAGAUCCUCCACAAAUUUGGCCACCUCGGUCCCUUCCGCUCCUUCUGGGAAUCCAAGAAAACGAACAUUGUUGCGUCUUGAUCGAUUUUCCAUAUCUUCCAAUUUCUCCCAAAUGGCCUCAACAUCCUUCUUGUUAGCGAGAGGAUUAGCUUGCAAGUCUUUAUCCACUGAUUCGAGGUAUUCUACCCGCCUCUCCAUUUCAUCAAUUCGUGAGAUUAAAGUGGAGACUUUAGCUUCGGUUGACGCAGUGGUCCGGCGAAUUUCUGCCAGUCCCUCUAUUUCGGUGGAGAUCUUUAUCAAAAUUGCGUUAAUAUUGCUAAUAUCCUGGCUUAUAUCCUGAGAGACGUGGCCACUGGAUGUAGCAUUAGCACCGCCAUCUUUAUCGCCCCCAUUCUGCGAACGCAAAAGCCUUUUAAUGUCGCCACCGGCGGGCGGUUUCGAGCCUCUUGACAUCUCCAAGAACUUCUAAUGCUAUUCUCACAAGCCGACUAUUUCUUUCUGGUUUUAAACCAACCUUAAAAUGAUAAUUACAGCAGAGCCUCGCGGAGCACAGUUCUAGGCAGCCUUUCCUCGCAUUGCGUCACGUGACCCUCUUUGAAGGCAAGCAUAAAGUGCCUGCACAAUUAGACUAAACUGUCAAGUCCUAGUAAGUAAUGUUUGUUCAUCUGUCUUUGAGUAAAGUGCUGAACUCCUUGUAACCUUGUGUUAAGUAAUUGCUGAACACUAUAAAAGGCAAAAUUUGUUUUUAGUUGAAUGCAAUGGAACUUAGUAGAGCUAAAAACUUUGGUCAAUAGCUGCAUGUGAAGUAGCAAGAGACUACUGAAUAAAUAAUACUCAACUGCAGCAUCUCUUUCUGCAUCUUCUUCUUACCGGGGUCUCAGUAAAUGGCUGUUUAACAUUAGUCUGGUUCUGCUCAAAGUUCUGGCUGUUAAAAGUAAGGACUGUUAUCUUGCUCUCUUACUUGCUAAUGGUGGACUUCGUAAAUAUUACCAAAGAUUUGUUUGGAUUUGUACAUUUCGGAAUUUAACAUGAAUUGGGACCAUAUUAAUCAAGAUUUAUGGACUGAUUGACCAAUUUGCCCAACUAAUUGUUGUUUUGCUCUUACAAGCAGCAUGUUGCAGUAAAAUGUAAACUAUAUCAAGAGAAUGACCAAACCGAUGCUUAUUUUAAUCUUAUUUUAAAUCAUGGCGAUGUCAGUUAUAGACACAGAAAUAGCAAACACAGACUUAUGUUCUUUUAUAUCUUUAGAAACAAGUAUUAAAAUAACCAAUUUCUUGUGAUUAUUAUCGUUAAAAGUUAAAACAAUUUUAAAGGGACAGUAUUUGAAAUUCUUUUCUCAGAUCCAAAAUUUUGUAGAACAUUGAAGAAGAUAAGUUUUAGAGGGUUUUACUAGCUUUUUCUAUUGUGAAUAUCAAUUAAAAAUUAUAUUCACUUUAAAUCUGUACUCCCACUAUUGUUUUCCAUGACCCAACAUCUGCAAAGAGUACAUCUAUAUUAUGUCAAUACCUUCUGGUCACUGAAUGCGCUACUCAAUGUUACUAUUGUAAUUUUCCACUAAUAGACUAAUUAUCACCCAAUUACAACAUUUUUUUGUAUUUUACUGAAUUAAUGACAGUUAUUUUUUAGCCUGUAAGGGGGUAUUCUACAAAAAUUGGCACUUAAUCACUUCUUAGGGAUUGAAGCUUUUCUCUGGUUCGCUUCUGGAAAUGCAAUCAUAUCUGCAACAACAGUUUAGUUAGCUUAAACAUCAAGAUGACCCUUCAGUCCUCAUGGUGCAACCACACAACUGUACAAGUUACAUCAAACUGUAACUAGUGUUAUAUCUUAAUGUAGACCUAUGGGUAUGAACUAAGGCUGAAAUGAUUGAUCUUUAAAGCCACACUUGUCAAUCUUUUUUAUUACUUAUUUUGCAUAGGAAGCGAAUUAUGAAAAAAAAAAAAAAAGUGCCUCAGUUCUUAAAGUGAUUAAUAAAAUUAUAUUGGUCCCCCGAGCUUUAAAAAGUCAUUUGAGUGUUGAUCACAAUAUGAUAUCAGUGAAUGAAGUUUAAAUUAUUUUUAUGAGUGCUGGUAAAGUAUUCGUUAAAGUCUAUAUCCCCUGUUAUAAAAAAUUAUUGCAAUGCUUGAUACAGUUUUUCUGCUGCUGCUAUCAAAUAUUGUUGGAGUCAGGAAUUCAUUGGGGUCACUCCAUACAAUGACAGAUUGGAUUAAAUGCAGGACAUUGAGAUGUCUUCCCAGGCUGCCAGCAUACAGCAGAUUUAUAUAAGCAUUUUAAUUAAGUUUUCAAUUACUAUUUCUUCGGCUACAACCUCCCCUAUAGCAUCCCUUCCUUUCUGAGCCUUGCCGUCAGCCAAAUUAUUGUGUCCUGUGCUGGGCAGCUGAGCAAAAUGCUGCAGGAUAUAGGGCUAAGUCCCCAUUCUCUCCUUUUCUCUCCCCCCCUUCCUCACUUUAUCCACAGUAAUCCCCAAGAGCCCUGGAUGAUAAUGGGUAAUGGAUCCGGGGGACCCAUCCCUUCCAGAAACACACACUCUCACACCCUUACACUCAGCGGUAAUGCUGAAGGUGCAAGUUCCUAUGUCUAACAUUCUGCGUCCCUGGACCUUGUAUCCAUGGCGAUUACCCCAUCUUCCCAAUCUGAAUCCAUACGUUCCAUAAUUCGUUAUCUGUAUUUCUACUGGGGCAGGUUUCAUAUUCAGGUGUUGGUGGAAAGUAACAGCAGAAAUGCAGAGUUUUCAUGGAAGCAAAAAUAAUGAGCAGCUCUCUCUCCAGAAGACUUCAGAGUUACUUGGUGAGAUGUAUCCUUUGGGGUGCCAUCAAGACUUUGUAAGACUAUCUAUUUUUGUCUUCGAUGACAGAAGUAUUACAUACGCCUGUGCAUUGAAAUUAACAAUAUGACUUUUAGUUUCCCUGCUUACAUUUAUAUUUUGAAAUAUUUGGGUGUUUUCAAAACAAAACUGAAGUUUUCGUUUGCAUUUCUGGAUUUAAUUACUUUUGGUGAGUGUCUAUAGCUGACUCAAUUUCUACAGCAGCAACAGUAUUGUGAAACCAAACUACAGUUGCAGUAUUGUGAAACUGUGGUGCACUGAGAUAUGCAGUCGUGCUUCCUUUCAUAAUAAAACGUCUGCAUUACGACUGAUACGGUUUCCUGUUCGUGGAGUAUCCUGUUCAUGGACUUCAGCUCAGCGUUUAACACCAUUGUUUCCAUUUUCAUCCAUCACAAGCUGGCUGACCUCACAGUGCCAGCCCCCACCUGUUAGUGAAUCACCAGCUUCCUGACAGAUAGGAGGCAGCAAGUGGGGUUUAGGAAUAUCAUAUCCAGCACCCGGACUUUCAGCACUGGUGCCCCCCAGGGGUGUGUUCUCUCCCUGCUGAUCUUCUCCCUCUACACCAACGACUGCACCUCAGGGGACCCAUCUGUCGGUCUCCUGAAGUUUGCGGAUGACAACACAGUGUCAUCAGUCUCAUCCAAGAUGGUGAUGAGUCUGCAUACAGACGGGAGGUGGAUCAACUGGUCCUCUGAUGCAGUCAGAACCAUCUGGAGCUGAACCUGCUCAAGACUGUGAAGCUGACAGUGGACUUACACAGGAGCCCUCCUGCACUCGCUCCCCUCACUAUUCUUAAUGACACAGCUUUCCCUGGAUUCACAGUCUCCAGGGACCUAAAGCUGACCUCUCACAUAGAUUCAAUUAAAAGAAAAAAAAAAGCCCAGCAGAGGUUGUACUCCCCGCGACAGCUCGCUUAGUUCAACCUACCUCAGAAGCUGCAGGUUCAUCUCUACGCCAUCAUCAUCCAGUCGGUUCUCCGCACAUCCAUCACUGUUUGGUUUGGGUCAGGCACCAAGCAGGACAGGAACAGACUUCAAGAGACUGUCAACUAACAGACUAUCAAGACUGCAGAAAAAAAAAAACAUUGGCUCUCUUGAAGUAUCUAUUAUGCACACAGUACAGGAAGCAAUUAUCUGAGCCAGCAGCACAAACAGGUAUGCAACAAAAUAGCCUUCUGGAUGUAAAGUACUCAAUUAUUGCAUACUGUCUGUUACUGUUGGCGUGUCCUGAUUUAAAUCUCAUUUUCUUCUGAACUCUGGGGCUUCAUUUAUAAAGACCUUCAUCAAGACUCAGAACUCAGUGUAGCUGUUGCCAGACUAUUUUACCUGUGUAUUUGAUUUGAUUUAACCAGGAUAACUGAUUAAAGAACUUUUGUAACAAGAGUGUUCUGGCCAAGACAGCUGCUGUACAUUCAAACAAAGUUACAGACAUACCAAUGUUUAAUAAUCACAGUACACAUGUCAGCAUUUCUCUAAUAAUACAGCAGAUGUCAUACUGUUUACCAUCGCUUAAAGAGUCUGUAAUAUUCCCAGAAUGAGAUCAUGAAAGGUGAAAAUGAAAAUAUAUUACAACAUAUAUGACAAUGAACAUCACAUGAUCCACAGUCAAAUGUCAGCGCACGUCUUACUGGAAGAGUGUUUUAGUCCAAGCUUAACUCUCUCCCACAGCAAGAAAUGUACAAAGCUUUUUUCUCUCUUCUGUAAAUUUCUCUGGUUGAGGAUUUAGGGUCCAGUGGUUGGAAUAUGGAUGAAAGGCUGUACUGUGUUGCUGCCUUGACCCAGCCUGGUGGUCAAUAUCCUGACCGAGACAAAUCAAACACCCCCCGAUGUCCAGUUGCCCGAGGCCAUUCAUCGCAUUUCAAAGUGCUUGGAUCUCAAACCUUUGCAAAGCCACGAGCAACUCCUUUUAACUGAUGCCCAGCAGCAACAGCACACAGAGCUGCAGAAUAAUUCAGCUCAUCCGCAGUAGGAGGCCAUACUCUAUCACGUAUCACAUUCAAAAGCUCAGAACCUGUUGAAAGACGCAUUUUCUUAGGUAGCCGUCUACCUUUGUUCUCUGCUUCAGAGCAAGCUAGCAGAAGCCUACUUUGUUAAACAAGGAACAAAAUCACUGACCUCUCGUUUUCUUGUGUCACAUCAGGAUGGGAUCAACACAUGCAUGAGGUCCGAGCUGGAUACUCUCAGGGGCUAAACUAGCAAUGUGCAACACACUGGAGCUAAAUCUAUCUCCUGCAAAAUUUGUUUGAAUAAAAUUGUAAUUCUAAAAUAGUAGAGGCUAAACCUUAACACAGGGCCAUGAUCCAUUUAUUUGUCUUUUUAAUUAAUCCGCAGCUUUUCCUGUUUUGGAUUGAGGAUCUACUAUAUCUUAAUACAAACAAGGCUUAAGUGUGAUACUGUAAAUAAUGGACGGUCGGCUGUUUAAACAAAAUAAACCCUUUGAUUAUACCUUUAUGUGAUUGUGAUUGCAUGUUAUUGAAUGUGCAAUGACACAAAUGAAUAUUAACCAGAUACAACAUUGUGAGCACAGGUCUGGUCUUAUCAUGUUUUUGGCCUCAAGGCAGUUGUCCUUGAGUCAUUUAAUUGGUAAUAUCUAGUUCAGAGAUUCAAUUAAAAUAAAUGAUGUGCACUGCAUUUUAAUUCACACAGCACUAGAGGGAUUCAAUGUCAGACUCUGCUCUGAAUCAGUGUUUAGGCUUUAAUGAUUUUAAGAGUCUGUGUAACUACACAUCAAAGAAAUAAUUCAACAUUUUGGGAAAAUGUUCUUUUUUGCUUUGCUUCAAUACAGUGUAAAAUACAACUGGAGGCUGUUGGCGAAAGCAGCUGGUAAAAAAGAUGAAUACAUAUUCAAGCGAUAAAAACAGUAUAUCUAGAUCCCUUAAGCUCAGCAGUGUCAACAUUGUUUAAUGUUUAAUAGGAACAUUGUGUAAAAGUUUUUGACAUGCAACUCCUCCCAAAACUGCACAAGUUCAUAUCAAUUCAACGUUGAUAUGCAGAGGUCACUUCUGGAGAUGGGGAUUUAUGGUGGUGAAGGUAGCAAUGGUCUUUAACGCUCUUAUCAGGAAUGUUGCAAUUAUGAUAGUUGACAAUAAUAAUAAUAAUAAUGAAAAGAACUCUUCUUGACUUUUGACAGCCAAAUAUUUUAUUCAGGGUAGAUAUUUCAUGUAAAAAAAUGAGCUAUUGACUCUUUAGCUUGACUGACACCUACCCCCUUGUGCCAUUAAAAAUUACAACAAAUGAAUCAUUGGUCUUGUUACUGAUGGUCUUGUUUGCUUACCAAUUUCAUCAAAAAAUGCAUCAAUUUGGGUUUCAGUCUAUUUAAUAAACAUGUUUUUAAAAAAUCCCAAUCUAUUGCUGUGGUGCAAGAAUUUCCAAUGCAGUGAAUAAAUUGAGUUGCACAUUCACUUUCUGUUUAAAUAAGAGCAUAAUAGUAAAUGGAUAUGAUCAACACCUCUAUUAUUAAAGGUGGGGUAGGCAGGAUCUGAGGAAGUGUCAGUUUUUAGGAGAAAUUUUGAAUGUAAACACUACCCCUCCCAACCAGUUUUCCCCUCAGCUCCUCCUCUCCCGCCAUCUCUGCUCCAAAAAUCCCCGCCCACAUACAGACACUCCUGCUCGCCUGCAAUUUUUCAAUUUAAUUCAGAUAUAAUGCAGAUAAAUAUGUCAGAUAAUUACAAAUGGGGCCCAGUCAACGUUAAAGUAAAAAGCACUGGUGCUACUGUAGAUUCCAACAGACUAUCAGCUAACACAAUGUUUGCAGGAUUUCUACAGCCAAGAUAAAGUGACAUACUCCAGUAUUUCUCCAGUAUUUACUUUGUUUUCUUGUUUGUGUUGGCAGUCAUGGCCAAAGGAGGAUUUAGACAACUUUCCAUACUUUCUGGUCGGUUUCUACUGUCUGAUAUUGUAGCACGCUAACUGUGUUUGGGCUCAUGAACAACACAAGGAAGCAGCGUCUGCCUCACAACCAAUCAGCACUAAGGAGCAGCGUCCGCCUCACAACCAAUCAGGUUGGGGGAGGAGGAGAAUGGCUUUGUUUACAGUCAGAAAGAGCGGAGCGCUCUAAAAAAUUUAAAAUGUUUACUACACAAAGAUAACAAAACACAGCGAUAUAUUACCAAAUGUCAUCAAUAAUUUAUAGCUACUGGCUGAUAUUAAAAGCUUUUUAGUAUGUAUGCCACAAAGAAGAUUCUUCUUUAACCAAAUUUUGCCUACCCCACCUUUAACCUCAAUCCC